Molecule: ribosomal RNA, 446 nt
Filed under: uncultured bacterium
Lineage: Bacteria
Description: partial 16S ribosomal RNA
Rfam family: Bacterial small subunit ribosomal RNA
Source: RNAcentral
CCUACGGGUGGCUGCAGUCGAGAAUCAUUCACAAUGGGGGAAACCCUGAUGGUGCGACGCCGCGUGGGGGAAUGAAGGUCUUCGGAUUGUAAACCCCUGUCAUGUGGGAGCAAAUUAAAAAGAUAGUACCACAAGAGGAAGAGACGGCUAACUCUGUGCCAGCAGCCGCGGUAAUACAGAGGUAUCAAGCGUUGUUCGGAAUCACUGGGCGUAAGGCGUGCGUAGGCUGUUUCGUAAGUCGUGUGUGAAAGGCGCGGGCUCAACCCGCGGACGGCACAUGAUACUGCGAGACUAGAGUAAUGGAGGGGGAACCGGAAUGCUCGGUGUAGCAGUGAAAUGCGUAGAUAUCGAGAGGAACACUCGUGGCGAAGGCGGGUUCCUGGACAUUAACUGACGCUGAGGCACGAAGGCCAGGGGAGCGAAAGGGAUUAGAUACCCCUGUAGUC